AUGGAGGUGGGAUUCUUUUGCAAAACAAGUGCAGAGCAGGACAACUGGUUCAGCAACAAAUGGAAGAAACUCCUCAAGCAGCUGGAAUUCACAGAAUGCCUAGAAAAAAAGAUGGCCAUAAGCAAAGUCAAUUUGGAGGUUAUAAAUCUCUGGAUAACAAAAAGAGUAACUGAGACAUUGGAUUCAAAGGGAUGUUGUGAUUGAGUUCAUCUUCAACCAGCUGGAAGAGAAGCAUGUGGAUUCCAAAGUGAUGCAAAUCAACAUGACUGGAGUUUUGAAGAAUGCUAGAGAAUUCAUGGGAGAACUGUGGCCCCCUGCUGUUAAGUAUACAAGAAAAUAUCAGCUGAGUCCCUUCUGCCUUCCUAGAGUUGAAGAAGGAAGAGAUAAAACAGAGACAAAUUGAACUAGAAAAAUUGGCAUCUCUGAAAAAAAAAAUAGUUGAAGAUAAAGGUAAGAGGGAUAAAGAAGAAAAAGAAAGGAGCAGAGAGAAGAGGGAGUGAUCUCACAGCCCAAGAAGACCCGAAUCCAGAUCUCCUUCCCCUGGAAGAUCUUCCCCUGUCAGGAGAGAGAUCUCCUACAUCUCCCCAUCACAGAACCAAGAGCCUGAGCCCUUCCCCUGCCCCAGAAAAGGAGAAAUCUCUAGAGCUACCAGAACCAUCAGUGAGAAUGAAAGACUCUUCAGUACAGAAGGCCACAUUGACAAGUGACAUCCAGAAAGCUAACAAGCCUGAGCCUGUACCAGAGCCCAAAGAACUGUCUCCACAAAAAAAUUUCAAAAAGGGAAAGGAAAAGACUCGACCAAGAUCUCAGUCAAGUUCCAGAUCACGGCCUCAGACCCAUUUUCAAUCACCUUCUCAUACUAGACCAAGACAUCGACACAGAUCCCGAUCAAGAAGGCCAACAAGCCCAAGAAGAUGAUCGUCUCUCCGAGGAAGAACUCCACCAAGACAGAUCCCUCCUCCACCAAGGCACAGGAGGAGUAGGUCUCCAGGGAGACAAAGGAGGCGUCCUUCCUCAUCACUGCCUGGAAGUAGCUCCUUGUCCUCUUCAUCUCAUUCUGCAUCACCGCCAAAGAAGCCUCCCAAGAGGACACCCAGCCCUCCUUGGAAAAUGCUUAAGUUAUCACCUAAGGCAGGUCCUCCAAGGUGAAGGCACCGGUCAUCAUCUCCAGCAUCCACCACCCAAAACUCGCCAUUCCCCAACUCCCCAGCAGACAAAUUGUGCAAGAAAAAGUUGUGUUUCUGUGUCUCCAGGAAGAACCUCGGGUAAAGUAACAAAACAUAAAGGUACUGAGAAAAGAGAGUCACCUUCUCCAGUACCCAAGCCUAGAAAAGUGGAGUCUGAAGAAGGCAAAGGCAGCAACAUGACUACAACUGAUUCUGUGCAGCAGAGGAAACAAUACAGAUGACAGAAUCUGCAGCCUUCGUCUGAACAGCCCAUGAGAUCCCGUGUGAAGAAUGGUGAGGUAGGCUGGCAGCAGACACAGUCCCCUUCUCAGAGUGCCUCUCCAUCAUCUCGAAAGUGCCAAAGAGAGACUUCCCCUUGGUUGCAGAUGGGAAAGCGAUGGCAGUCGCCAGUGACUAAGUAGUAGAAGGAAAAGUCCCUCCCCGCCUCCUGCCAGAAGGCCAAUGAUCUUCUUUAGCCCCUCCUCCUCCCCCACUCCUAGCUCCUGGACGGCUCAGCCAACCCACCACCACAAUAAAGGACCCCUUCUCCUCCCCCACGCGAUCUCCAGAAGAGACUCUCCUCCCAUCCAGAAGAAAUACUUUCCUUCCCUACCUUCAAAAAGGAGAACGGCCUCACCCCCAUCCCUGCCCAAGGGAAGGGCAUUACCAUCUCCACCCCCAAAGUGCCAGGUCUCCCACUUUCCACCUCCUAAACAAAGAACGCCCCCCUACCCCCUAUCCCAAGAGAUGCUAGGCCUCCUUAUCUUCAAAGCAUAGGAAAGGGCCUUCCCCAGGUCACCCCACAGAAGGCGGUCUCCAUCCCCAAGUACUAGGCCUACUAGGAGAGUAACCAGAACUCCAGAGCCCUAAAAGAUAAUAAAGGCUGCCUCACCAAGCCCUCAUCCUGUAAGAAGGGUUUCAUUUUCCAGAUCUGUCUCUGGAUCUCCUGAGCCAGCAGCUAAAAAGCCUCCAGCACCCCGCUCUCCUGUGCAGUCUCAGUCACGCUCCACAAACUGGUCGCCUGCAGUACUAGUCAAAAAGCCUAAAAGCCUGACACCAAGCCCAUCCCCCACCAGGAACUCUGGUCAAGGAGGAGGUGGAAAGAAAAAGGAGGAGGACAAGAAACACAAGAAGCACAAAGACACAAGAAGGAGAAGGCUGUGGCUGUGGCCACCCCAGCUCCUGCAGCCCCCUGCAGCUGUUUCUGUUGCCUCCACCACAUCAGCACAGCAAGAGCCUGCAGCAGCACCAGAGCCCAGGAAGGAGUCUGAGAGUGUAGCUGAAGAUGACAACCAUGAUGUCUUAGAGAGGCACCUAUGGGAGAAGGCCCUGGGAUUCAUGGGAAAGGUUCAAGUGUCCCCAGUCCUAGGCAGACAUGUUUGUUACGUUGUAAAAUUUAUUUGGUUUGUACUCAGUUCAAUUUCAAAAAUUGCUCAAAUGUGUUUGGGCUUUAGACUAUAA
This is an RNA transcript of Mus pahari (shrew mouse), 2627 nucleotides long. It is a transcript of the gene named serine/arginine repetitive matrix protein 1 pseudogene, with no coding region annotated. The transcript has a single exon. NCBI's taxonomy places the organism in Eukaryota, Metazoa, Chordata, Mammalia, Rodentia, Muridae. The record is from RefSeq and is a predicted model, not a curated record.